UACGGAGGGUGCAAGCGUUAUCCGGAUUUACUGGGUUUAAAGGGUGCGUAGGUGGGUCUGUAAGUCAGUGGUGAAAUCUCCGAGCUUAACUCGGAAACUGCCAUUGAUACUAUAGGUCUUGAAUUAUCUGGAGGUAAGCGGAAUAUGUCAUGUAGCGGUGAAAUGCUUAGAUAUGACAUAGAACACCAAUUGCGAAGGCAGCUUACUACGGAUAUAUUGACACUGAGGCACAAAAGCGUGGGGAUCAAACAGG
Molecule: ribosomal RNA, 253 nt
Filed under: uncultured bacterium
Lineage: Bacteria
Description: partial 16S ribosomal RNA
Rfam family: Bacterial small subunit ribosomal RNA
Source: RNAcentral